GUGCCAAUAGCUCAGCAGGAUAGAGCGUCUGCCUCCUAAGCAGAAGGUCGGGGGUUCGAAUCCCUUUUGGCACGCCA
RNAcentral lists this transfer RNA (77 nucleotides) under Ruminococcus sp. Its description in RNAcentral is "tRNA-Arg". It matches the Rfam family "tRNA". Rfam says of the family: Transfer RNA (tRNA) molecules are approximately 80 nucleotides in length. Their secondary structure includes four short double-helical elements and three loops (D, anti-codon, and T loops). Lineage: Bacteria; Bacillati; Bacillota; Clostridia; Eubacteriales; Oscillospiraceae. The record is from RNAcentral. RNAcentral also lists the same sequence under 1 other name.